Molecule: unclassified non-coding RNA, 335 nt
Filed under: soil metagenome
Description: partial contains 5.8S ribosomal RNA, internal transcribed spacer 2, and large subunit ribosomal RNA
Rfam family: 5.8S ribosomal RNA (bases 1-120)
Source: RNAcentral
GAUGAAGAACGUGGCGAAAUGCGAUAAGUAAUGUGAAUUGCAGAAUUCAGUGAAUCAUCGAAUCUUUGAACGCACAUUGCGCCCGCCAGUAUUCUGGCGGGCAUGCCUGUUCGAGCGUCAUUUCAACCAUCAAGCCCCCGGCUUGUGUUGGGGACCUGCGGCUGCCGCAGGCCCUGAAAACCAGUGGCGGGCUCGCUAGUCACUCCGAGCGUAGUAAUACAUCUCGCUCAGGGCGUGCUGCGGGUUCCGGCCGUUAAAAGCCUUAUUUUACCCAAGGUUGACCUCGGAUCAGGUAGGAAGACCCGCUGAACUUAAGCAUAUCAAUAAGCGGAGGA